Molecule: long non-coding RNA, 559 nt
Filed under: Cebus imitator (Panamanian white-faced capuchin)
Lineage: Eukaryota; Metazoa; Chordata; Mammalia; Primates; Cebidae
Description: lncRNA (ENSCCAG00000038171.1)
Source: RNAcentral
AAGUUCUAAUAAAUCAUUGCCUUUUCUGUAGGUAAAAUCUGCUGGUAGUCACUCCAUUAUUCUUAUCCAUGGAGAGCAAGAUCUUGAUUUGAAAGUUUCUGAGAAAAUCUUCAGCUCAGACUUGAGGUCAACUUUACCAACUGAAGGAUCUGCAUUUACUGCUCCAACCGCAUCUAAUUUGAUGCCAUCUGCAAAUUUAAAAUGUGUGUCUUCUUUUCCACCACCAAGUCAUCCCUGUGUUACUACCGAACAUCCUUCUCAAUCGCCCCCGGUCCAUGAAUCGCUGUUCUCCAUUGUGUAUUUCACCAGAUGUCCUCAAAACAGACAGGCAGAAAAAGGAAGUGGCUCAUGGAAUGGGCUGUUGCCAGCUUCUGCUUCCUGCCCCAGUCCCAGCAUGGACUGAGGAUUUGCUCUGAGAAGGCAGUUCCUCGCAUGUCGUCUGAGAACUGUGGAGUCCAAGUGUAACUGCCAAGAGGCAUCCAGCAAAGCCAGAGAGUCCAAGCAUGUAGCCCUGCCGGUAGCCCGCCACACGCAUGGAAAACCCAGAGGAAAUGAGUGA